AUAGGAACAGCUCCAGUCCACAGCUCCCAGCGUGAGCGACGCAGAAGACGGGUGAUUUCUGCAUUUCCAUCUGAGCAGGCUUUUCUUCUUGGAGCUGAAACAGGCGCACUGGCGAGGGUUGUGAGGAAAGGUUUGCAGCCCCCUGCCUUGGUCUGCUAUAGCCAGUGACACGAUCAAUACCAGGGUGAGCAGCAGAGGAAGCUCAGGGAAGAUUAUGAAGAUGAGGUCUUCUUUGAUAACAUGUCAAGGAGUUACAUUUGACAUAGCCCUGUUAUUUUUACCACAGGAAUUUGCCUGAGUUCUGAUCAAUGCUAAAAACACCAUUUAACAGUGCCCUUUCCUGCCUGGGAAGCCCACAAAGAUUUCGCUUUUCACUUAUUACUCAUCAAACUGACUCUGGUUCACAGUGGAAAAGAGAAGAAAAGCUGAUGGAGAAAUGGCAGUGAAGAAGGAGAACAAAAUGUCAGAGCAAUACUUUUGAGCGACUAUAUCCUUUUCAUUAAAGUCAGUCUAUAGACGUGAAGCCAACAGGGACCCUCAGGCCUGUGCAUCAGGAUGGUGGGCUGCCUAAGUCCUCUGGGGACAGCAGUGCCAGAAGGAGUAUUGGACACAGUGACCCGACUGUAUGAGAUGAGAAAAAACAAAAACAGGAGGUCCGCAGUACUGAUGAACUAAUCUGUCACUCACAAGCUCAGGUCUGCAAAAAAAAGAAACGAAGCACUAAACAUGGCCAUAAGAGAUGGAAAUGCAAGUCUUCAUUUCUAAAUGAUAAUCAAACCAACGAUCAGAAACUGAUUAACUGUGUAAUUGAAUUGAAUUGAAAAUCAUCCCAUGAAUAACAAUCCAUCCUACCUUCAAGGGGUUAGGAAGCUAACUACAGGUAAUUGCUAUCAGAAAUCUGAUUUGAUUUCCAAAAAUUGUGUGAAUGAACCAAGUUUCUUCAUCUUGAUAUACUAGGCAGGGAGUUUGUUCUUCCAAGUACUAGACUGCUUAAUUGCUUGCUUGGGGGAGGAGAAAUCCUAGGGGAAAGGCAUAUAUGAGCAAUUUCUACUCUGUGAAGCCAGCGCUGUGUCCUGAGCUGGAUCAUGGCCAGAAACAGAAAAGUCUACUCUUCCCUACAGUGGAAGCAACUGUGGAUAUUUCAUCCUAGGAGUGAAUGAAAAAACCUAAAGCUCAUACUUCAUGGGAAUCUUUCAAUAUUCUGACUGAAAACUGGUUAUUUGCUCCUCCAACCCAAAGCCAUCUAGGAACAGCACUCAGAACAGGAAAAAAAAAAGACAAAAAUAAUAAUUAUUCCAAAACGUAUUUGAGCAGAAACAAACACAAACAUUUGCAUUAUUAAAUGGGCUUGUUCACACCUGCUGAGUAGAUAUAAGACGAUAUUUAAGACAAGAGCUAAAAAAUAAACCAUCCCUUUCUGGUUUUGAGUGACAGCAGAGCAAUAAAAAUUAUUUUCACAUUCUUUUCCCUAUUGUUAGAAGUAAUCAUUUGAGUAAAUACACUUAUCUGUGCUGUAACUAUUGAAAUGAAUCCACUUCAAAUAUGUAUACCACCUUUCUUUUUUAUAUUUCUAGAUAUGGUUUCAAUAUAGACUUUCUGACUUUUAUGGUAUACAUAUAGGACAAUAUUCUAUUCUUCUUUCCUUUUAAAUACUUACUGUUUCAAUUUCAAAUAAAAAAUCAGCAUUCUAGUUUGUACAUUUUAGCACAGAAAUGUUUACAACCUUCAGCACAAUUGCUUUUGUAAUUUACUGACUUGGCAUUUUGAGGCGUUUUUAACAAAUUAUGAGAAAUAACACCUUCAGAAAGCAUGUGACUACUUUGAUGCAACUAUUUACAAUGUAUUCAUAAGAAGUCAUUAACCUGUAGAGUUCUUAGACAUGUGGAACCUUUAACAAUUAUACUAAAGAGUACAUACAAAAUACAGAGCUAUGUAAUAAUAACUAAUUUUAAAUCCUGACAAAUUAGAAGUUAAGCCUACUAUCUGUAAAAAUAUGUCCUGAUUCAUUUUUUUAAGUAUAUACCUGAGCCUUUAAAAAGUAUAUGCCUUUACAAUUGAUUUCCAAUAAACAAUACUGAAUAACAAACUACAAGUGACUUUCCUGAUUUUUUCACCAGAAAUAUAUAGAAAAAGGAAAUCCUAUUCUUAUUAGAGAUUGAAGUACAGUAAUUCUGCACGGUAUUAAGAACCAUAACUAUGCCAUACAGAAGACAGG
Molecule: long non-coding RNA, 2215 nt
Filed under: Homo sapiens (human)
Lineage: Eukaryota; Metazoa; Chordata; Mammalia; Primates; Hominidae
Description: HSALNT0121448
Source: RNAcentral